Molecule: long non-coding RNA, 1871 nt
Organism: Chinchilla lanigera (long-tailed chinchilla)
Lineage: Eukaryota; Metazoa; Chordata; Mammalia; Rodentia; Chinchillidae
Source: Ensembl
GUGAGCGCCCAUUGCUUUCUCCCCCGGGCUGCCCCCACGGGGCCCGGGCCGCCCAGGAGCUCUUCCCUGGCCUCGCCAGCGUGCGGCGGCCCGCUGCGGACAGUCUCGGAGCUGUCCCCGCCGAGCUCCUCUUCGGCCAAGGAUCCGUCCCCGCGUCGCCACCGCGGCCUCCAGCGUCACCCUGGCCCGGCCUCAGCCCAGCCCGUUGCGGUCCACGUGGCUCGGCAGAGCUAUAUUCGGCUCGCUGGAAGCCUGAGCGAGGGGAAAGCCGAGCCGAGGCCGGCGGGAGGGGCACAGGGGACGCGGGCGCCGGGGGCGGGCGCGGGGCGGAGGAAGGGGAGGGCCGUGCGCCGGGGAGGAGGUGACCCGGCUCGGGGCGCCCGGCUCGAGCCCCGGCUGGCCAGCGAAGGCGGCCCCUCCCCGGUGGCCCCGCCUCCCACUCGCCUUGCUCCCGGGGGAAGGUUUCCCGAGGCCGCUCCCAGCCUCACCCCGCCUCCCGCGUCCCCGGCGCUAGCCUCGGCCGGCGGAGCCCCACUAUGCCAGACAGUUUCGACACUUUGCAAAGACAAAGAGCCCUCAACCGGAGGGAGGCGAGAGAGGAGGAAGAGGAGAGAGGGGAGCCAGAGGCGAGAUUCCGCUUCCCUCGGCUGGAAAUGCCAGGGACAGGCCAUCAGUAGGUCCGAGCUCUUUGCUGAGCAAAGGGACCAUUCCACCUGUGACUGGGAAUGGACAGCCUCUCAGCCUUCUGAGGUGAGUGCUGUGAGAUGUACCAUCUUCUCCACAUUCUUCCAUGGACUAUGUUGCAUGGAGAGGGGAGAUGCUGUGCUGUGUCUUGGUCCCUCUGUGAUCCUGCCUGUUCUGCCAGAGCUCCUCUGGGAGAAUUGUCACUCAGAGAGGAAGGACAGCUCUGAUGAAGUCUCAAGCAGCCUCUCGUGAUCCUGAAGGGAGUGCCUGUCAAGUUCUCAUGAAAACUGAUAAGCAGACGCUUAGAGCAGGAACAAUCUUCUAGAAUAGAUGCCAGCCACCCCGAAGAAGGCCAGGCAUAAUGCUUCGCUGUGUCCUGGAGCAAGAGUUAAACCCCAACCUUUGGGACACACCUGGCCAGGCUUGGAUUUACAAAUAAAGCACAUGAGUUCCAGCCAAGCCUCCCAGACCAGAAGAAAUGUGCCAUCAACCAAAUUCAGCCAUGGCUGUGUGCUGUCUUCAGGCACUAAGGUCUGGGCUAUUUAUUAUGUGGGGAAAGCUGACUGACACAGCCACAUUUGAGGACCCAUCUGGCAGGUGGCUCCACCUCUUUGCAGUAGAGCAGUCAUAGUAACAGAGACCUGUGGCUGCAGAGCCUGGAGUAGGUACCCUGUGGUCUAGAGCUGAGCUAUCCACUUGGAGCCGCUGUAUUAAAAUUAAACAGAAUUAAAACUUCAGUUUCAAGUCACACUUAGACAUAUGUCAGGUGCUCAGGAGCCCCAUAGAGCUGGUGGCUACUAAAUGGGUGGAGGGGGCUGGGGAUAUUUCCAUCAUUAGAGAACAGUGGGUUGGAAAGAAGGUCAUCACCCUGGGAUGUGUCACUGUACCCUGCCUGUCCUUAACCCACUUGGGGAUGACUGCAACUAUUUCAGAAGAAGAAAGAAGGUUGGUAUGUGUGAGUGAGUGACUGAGUGAGUAUCUAUACAACUGGGGUUUUUGACAUGAUUAUUGGUGAAAAUCUCUGUCUUUCUUUUUUAUGGUCACUGAGCUAUGAUCACAACCCCUACCUUUGUCUUUAAAAAUAGAAUUACUUUUACAGUUUCUUUGGGGCGUAUGGUCUCUGCAUAUGAAUUCAUGUAGAAAUAAAACCACAUAGGCCUUGGGGUUUCUUGGUUUUAUAGAUUAAA